AACGAACGCUGGCGGCGUGCCUAACACAUGCAAGUCGUGCGAGAAAGUUCCUUCGGGAGCGAGUAAAGCGGCGCACGGGUGAGUAACACGUAGGUAACCUGCCCCCCAGUCUGGAACAACUAGAGGAAACUACUAGCUAAUGCCGGAUGAGACCACGAUCCCUUCCGGGGGUUGGCGGCCAAAGAUGGCCUCUACUUGUAAGCUAUCGCUGAGGGAUGGGCCGUGCGGGCCAUUAGCUUGUUGGUGAGGUAACGGCUCACCAAGGCUGUGAUGGCUAGCUGGUCUGAGAGGAUGACCAGCCACACUGGGACUGAGGACACGGCCCAGACUCCUACGGGAGGCAGCAGUGGGGAAUAUUGCGCAAUGGGCGAAAGCCUGACGCAGCGACGCCGCGUGGGUGAUGAA
RNAcentral lists this ribosomal RNA (405 nucleotides) under uncultured bacterium. RNAcentral's name for it is "bacterial SSU rRNA". It matches the Rfam family "Bacterial small subunit ribosomal RNA", at positions 29 to 412 of the family's 1533-position model. The record is from RNAcentral.